RNAcentral lists this long non-coding RNA (4048 nucleotides) under Homo sapiens (human). RNAcentral's name for it is "HSALNT0176530". Lineage: Eukaryota; Metazoa; Chordata; Mammalia; Primates; Hominidae. The record is from RNAcentral.
GUCUCUUUCUGUCACCCGGUCUGGAGUGAAGUGGCGCAGUCUCAGCUCUCUGCAACCUCUGCCUCCCAGGUUCAAGCAAUUCUUCUGCCUCAGCCUCCCAAGUAGCUGGGAUUACAGGAAUGUCUCCCGCAGGGACCCUACCCUGGUGGCACAGGACGUCUCACACAGCACUGUCUGGGACAGCAAAAGGGAUGGAAACCACCUGAGUCCAACUAUGGAGGACACUGGAAAACACGAUGCUGCCUCCAUAGGAUGGGAUAUUGUUCUGGAGGCUGCAAGCCCAGGUUCAAGGCAUCAGCAGGUGUGGUUUCCUCCGAGGCCUCUCCCCGUGGCUUGCAGAUGGCUGCCUUCUUCCUGCAUCCUCACGUGGUCCCUCCUCUGCACUCCAGCAUCCUUAAUGUCUCUUUGUGUGUCCAACUUUCCGCCCCCCCCCACCCCUUUUUUUUCUGAUGGAGUCCACCCAGACUGGAGUACAGUGGCGUGAUCUCAGCUCACUGCAACCUCCACUUCCUGGGCUCAAGUGAUUCCCCCGCUUCAGCCUCCCGAGUAGCUGGGAUUACAGGCAUGUGCCACCAUGCCUGGCUAAUUUUUGUAUUUUUAAUAGAGAUGGGAUUUCACCAUAUUGGCCAGGCUGGUCUCAAACUCCUGACCUCAAGUGAUCCACCCAUCUCGGCCUCCCAAAGUGUUGAGAUUACAGGUGUGAGCCACUGCGCCCAGCCCCGAACUUUCCUCUUAAAAGGAUAUCAGUCAGGCCAGGCGCAGUGGCUCAUACCUGUAAUCCCUGCACUUUGGGAGGUUGAGGCGGGUGGAUUACUUGAGGUCAGGAGUUGGAGACCAGCCUGGCCAACAUGGUGAAAUCCCGUGUCUACUAAAAAUACAAAAAUUAGCCGGGCGUGGUGGCAGGCGCCUGUAGUCCCAGCCACUCGGGAGGCUGAGGCAGGAGAAUUGCUUGAACCUGGGAGGCAGAGGUUGCAGUCAGCUGAGAUCAUGCUACUGCACUCCAGUCUGGGCAACAGAGCAAGACUCUAUCUCAAAAAAAAAAAAGACACCAGUCAGACUGGAGUAGGGCUCACCCUAAUGGCCUGAUUUUAACUUAAUUACCUCUUUUUUUUUCUUUCUUUUUUUGAGACAGAGUCUCGCUCUGUCACCCAGGCUUGAGUGCAGUGGCGCGAUCUCAGCUCACUGCAACCUCUGUCUCCCGGGUUCAAGUGAUUCUCCAGCCUUAGCCUCCCAAGUAGCUGGAAUUACAGGCGUGUACCACCACACCAAGCUAAUUUUUGUAUUUUUUAGUAGAGACAGGGUUUCUUCAUGUUGGUCAGGCUGGUCUCAAACUCCUGACCUCAGGUGAUACACCUGCCUCGGCCUCCCAAAGUGAUGGGAUUAUAGGUGUGAGCCACUGCACCCAGCCUUAAUUACCCCUUUAAAGGCCCUAUAUGCAAAUACAGUCACAUUCUGAGCUACUGGGGGUUAGGGCUUCAACAUAGGAAUUCAGGCAGACAUGAUUCAGCCCAUAACAAGGGCUUUCACUUUUUUUUUUUUUGUAGAAACAGGGUCUCACUAUGUUGCCCAGGCUACUCUUGAACUCCUGGGUUCAAGUGAUUCUCCAGCCUCAGCCCCCAGAUUAGCUGGGGCUACAGGUGCACCAGCACGCCCAGCUAAUAUUUUUACUUUCAUUUUUUUUAGACGGAGUUUAGCUAUCUUUGCCCAGGCUAGAGUGCAAUAGCGUGAUCUUGGCUCACCACAACCUCUGCCUUCCGGGUUCAAGAAUUCUCCUGCCUCAGCCUCCCAAGUAGCUGGGAUUACAGGCAUGCACCACCAUGACCGGCUAAUUUUGUAUUUUUAGUAGAGACGGGGUUUCUCCAUGUUGGUCAGGCUGCUCUCGAACUCCCGACCUCAGAUGGUCUGCCCGCCUCAGCUUCCCAAGGUGCUGGGAUUACAGGCGUGAGCCACCGCGCCCGGCCAAUAUUUUUUGUGGAGUCAGGGUCCUACUAUGUUUCCCAGGCUGGUCUUGAACUUCCAGGCUCAAGCGAUCCUCCUGCCUUGGCCUCCUAAAGUACUGUGAUUCCAGGCCUGAGCCACAGCACCCUGCUGGCUUUCACUUUUUACUUUAUUUCUAUGUUGUUAAAAUCUAUUACAAUAAACAUUACUUUUAAAGGAUUUUGUGCACUUCAAUCCAAAUGUCCCUGAAGCAUCUACCUCCCUCCUGGGCCUUCUCUGAAGUCAGAGUAGGGGCAGCUGAAGCCCUCCCUCUGCUGGCUCCAGGAACGAAACCCCCUGGCCCACUAAGGCCCUUCCCCUGGGGAGGGUGGCGUGGGAUAAGAACACUCAGUAUCUGUCUGGCCCUCUCAAGAUCACUGAGGACUUUCCCAGACAGCCGACAUGGUCUUCAGAUCAGUCUGCCAAACGUCACAUAGAGGCUGGGCACGGUGGCUCACGUCUGUAAUCCCAGCACUUUGGGAGGGCAACGUGGGUGGAUCACCUGAAGUCAGGAGUUCGAGACCAGGCUGGCCGACAUUGCAAAACCUCGUCUCUACAAAAAUAUAAAAGUUAGCUGGGCGUGGUGGCACGCGCCUGUAGUCCCAGCUACUCGGGAGGCUGAGGCAGGAGAAUCACUUGAACCUGGGAGGCGGAGGUUGCAGUGGACCAGGAUCGUACCACUGCACUCCAGCCUGGCCAACAGAGUAAGACUCCAUCUCAAAAAAAAAAAAAAAAUCAGGUGGAGGGGCAUCCUCUGUUUUCCAGGCUCCUGGUUUAUAGCUGCAAGCUCUGGACAUUUAAUACCUUGUAAUCCAUCCUUCCCUUAUAUACCUCUCAACAUAAUGACUGUACAAUAUGGCCAAUGAAACGGAUAGUAAAAUGAAACAUAGGCAAGUAAUAAAGUGAGAUAUGAAGACAGUAGUACAACCUGGAUGAGGGUGGAAUGCAAAAUUGUCAUCAGAGAAGACGACAGGAGGACCUGAGAGCUGGAGGGACGGACGCUUAUCUACCCAAAUGAGGCUAUAAAAAGUAGAAAGAUGGCAGGGUAAAAAUGGGGGAGGGCUGCCACUUAAGACUCUCAGGAAACAGUGAUGCAUCAGACUUUAUCAUUAAGUCCCAGGGGAGAGGAGUGGAUCUGGGGAUCCCUUUAGAUAUGGUAGAAUUCUCCUGGGUCCUGCUCUGGUCUUAAAUCUCAGACCAGUAGCAGGAAAACCCUAACUGUACUGUGGUCCUGAAUGUCACUGCAACUUCAGCCCUGCUGUGGUGGUGUAUCUGCUCCUCUGGCUGGCUCUGCCACCUUGAAAGGUGAGACCAUGUGGAGCAGAGCCAAGGGGCCUCAGCUGACAGCCAGCACCAACCAUCAGUCAUGUGAGUGAGACCACCUUGGACCCCCAACCCCAGUUGGGUUGUCAGAUGACUAUAGCUGCAGGUACAAGAGUGACCCAGUGACACCAGCAGAUGAACCGGCUAGCUUAGCUCAGCCCAAACUGCUGACUUAGAACUGUUGUUAUGUUAAGCCAGUACAUUUUCAGUGACUCAUUACAAAGCAGUAGAUAACUGUGACAGUCUAAGAGGAUCUAAGUUUGGAAACAGGAUUGAAUAUUUAAGAUAACUGAUUUGCCAGAUUUAUAAGUUUAUUAGUAUAUAAGAGUUGCUUGGCUGGGCACAGUGGCUCAUGCCUGUAACCCUAACACCUUGGAAGGCUGAAGCAGGAAGAUUGCUUGAGCCCAGGAGUUUGAGACCAGCCUUGGCAACACAGUGAGACCCAAUCUCUUAAAAAAAAAAAAAAAAAAAAAAACUCCGUCUCCCUCUCGCUCUCCGUCUCCCUCUCGCUCUCCCUCUCCCCACGGUCUCCCUCUCAUGCGGAGCCGAAGCUGGACUGUACUGCUGCCAUCUCGGCUCACUGCAUCCUCCCUGCCUGAUUCUCCUGCCUCAGUCUGCCGAGUGCCUGCGAUUGCAGGCACGCGCCGCCACGCCUGACUGGUUUUGGUGGAGACAGGGUUUCGCUGUGUUGGCCGGGCCGGUCUCCAGCCCCUAACCGCGAGUGAUCCGCCAACCUCGGCCUCCCGAG